This 442-nucleotide ribosomal RNA is filed under the name Nesidovelia howense. RNAcentral describes it as "partial 16S ribosomal RNA". Lineage: Eukaryota; Metazoa; Arthropoda; Insecta; Hemiptera; Veliidae. The record is from RNAcentral.
GUUCUUUUGUUUAAAAUAUAAGGUUGGGCCUGCCCAUUGAUUUUUAAGAAUUAAAAGGCUGCGGUAUUUUAACUGUACGAAGGUAGCAUAAUCAUUUGUCUUUUAAUUGAAGGCUAGUAUGAAUGGUUUGAUGAAAAAUUAACUUUCUUUUUUUAAUUUAUUUAAACUUAAUCUUUUAGUUAAAAAGCUAAAAUUAUUUUAUAGGACGAGAAGACCCUAUAGAAGUUUACUAUUUUUAAAAAAAUAUUUUUUUUGUCGUUAAAUGGGUAUUUUUUGAAGAAUUAGUUUUAUUGGGGUGAUAAUAAAAUAUAUUUAACUUUUAUUUUUAUUUUUCAUAAAUUUAUGUUUUUUUGAUCCAGAAUUUUUGAUUAAAAGAUCAACUUACCUUAGGGAUAACAGCGUAAUUUCUUUGGAGAGUUCAUAUCGAUGAAUAAGUUUGCGA